Molecule: ribosomal RNA, 887 nt
Filed under: Clausilia corynodes brandti
Lineage: Eukaryota; Metazoa; Mollusca; Gastropoda; Stylommatophora; Clausiliidae
Description: partial large subunit ribosomal RNA
Source: RNAcentral
UUAAACUAAAAUUUAUAUAAAUUUAUUUUCCCGAAGUGAAAAGAUCUAAUUAAACUUAGCUUUUUUAGUAGUUUUAUAGUAUUGUGGCAAAAUUACAAGGUAUAGAGUUAGUUAGGGGUGAUAGGCCAUUCAAUUUUCAUUGAUAGCUGGAUUAAACUUAAAAAUAUUUAGUAUUUAAACACAAACUCAAAAAUCUAAGCUUUUGAGUAUAAUAAAAUUAUUGUUUAACCACCACAUAAUAAACCAAUUUAUUAAUAUAAUACAGUGAACAACUAGUAGUAAUAAAUUUACUAAUUUUUUAAGCUCUCUUAGGUUUAUAUACCCUCGGAAUAUUCUUUCUGGUAUAAAUAAUGUUUAAAUGAGUAUAAUAUAUCAAAAAAAAGUAAGGAACUCGGCAAAUAUUUUCUUCAGCUGUUUAUCAAAAACAUAGCUAGUUGUUUUUUUAUAAUUAGUGAUCUCUGCCCGGUGAUUUCAAAUUUAACGGCCGCAGUACACUGACUGUGCAAAGGUAGCAUAAUCAAUUGGCUAUUAAUUGUAGUCGAGAAUGAAAGAGUUCAUGGGGAAGUGCUGUCUUACUUUUUUUUUCUCGAAUUUACUAAGCAAGUGCAAAAACUUGCGUAGUCUUAUAAUAGACGAGAAGACCCUAUAAAUUUUCUACUAAAUAUGGAAAAAUUCCAAGUUCGUUUUUGUUGGGGCAACAGAUUAACAUAUAUUUACAAAUUUAAUUAAUUAUAUAGAAUCGAAUAAUUCGAGUAAUACUAAAUAUAAACAAAUUACUAUAGGGAUAACAGCAUAAUUUUACAAAUAAGAUUGUGACCUCGAUGUUGGAUUAGGAACUUAGCAAAUCAACAAUUUGUUUAUGGAGUUCUGUUCGAACUUUUAUACCU